Non-coding RNA from Paramisgurnus dabryanus, 1279 nucleotides. The record is from RefSeq and is a predicted model, not a curated record. Lineage: Eukaryota; Metazoa; Chordata; Actinopteri; Cypriniformes; Cobitidae.
ACUAUCCAUACACAAAGAUGUAUUGUGGAUUUAAGUAAUAUCUGCGAAUAUUUAUGUGAAAAUGUAUUAGUGUUCUGCUGACAUGAGAUCUGAAAAUGUGUUCUAGGACCUGAUAUGGAUUAAUCCAAUGAUCAACGUUUUCCUUUGUAUCCCUGUUUUGUAUACGCUGCCAUUACAUGAUGGUCAUAUGUCCCGGAUGAUCGGGAGAAGUCACGUGGUUCAAUUAUUAUUAUUUUUUUACGUGGUUCAAUUAUCUGUUAAUAAAAUUUUUUUACCAUGCAUUUAGCAUCAGGCAAAGCCUGCAAUCAAUCUAUUAAGACAGAAACAAUAUCUUACUUAUUAUUAUGUUGUUAUGACAAUAUCAUGUGAUCAUCUGAGUUAGAACAAAAUCUAUUCAUUUUCAGGUAUAACUGUGCAAGUGCCCUGAAUCAUUCUGUUGAAAUGUUAUGUGUUUAAGAUUCUUUAUGACAUCAAGAUGUGGUUUGGGAAGGACCUUCAUCUAAAUCUGAAGACAGGACAUACUGGCUCAAAAAGGUGUUUCUGAUAUGGAGAAAAACCCUGCACUGCUCAUUUUAUUUCUUCAUCUUGAGAAUACAGCAAGUUUACCUUUUGUCUGGAAAAUGAUUCAGCAAAGCUAACACCAACAACAAUUUUUCAUGGCACUUUAAACCACCUUGAUGUGAGGAGCCAGCAUCAGAAUGGAUGGUGUCAAUAUCCUGAAAGUGGAGGUAACAGAGGUGGAUCUCGAGACUUGGCCAUGUUCUAGAUUAUAACUGGAUUAUCACAAGUGCUGUCGCCCCUGCUGUAUAUGACGCCCCCACCACCUACACCAGGUGUAGGAAAUGUCGGUCCUGGAGUGCCGUUGUCCUGCAGAGUUUUGCUCCAGCUCUAAACAAACACACCUGAACAACUAGAUCUGAAGAGUCACCAGAAAACUACAGGUAGGCGAGGUUUUAUCAGGGUUGGAAAUGAAAUCUGCAGGAUUUCGGCACUCCAGGACCGACGUUGCCUACUACUGACCUACACCUUCAUCCUGCCACCACCACCCAUACUACCUACAAAAAACUGUAUUGUAAUUAUGCUUUUCACUGUAUUGUAUGAUGUGGUUUUCUCAUUUAGGGUAACUACACUAUGGCAACAAUUGGAUACAUUGAUUGCUGACUGAUUUUGUUAUUUUUUCUUUACUUUUUGUUUAAAAUCUAAUCAUUUUUUUGUUAUUUUUGUUAAUAUUGUUACAAAUAUACAGUUAAAACUGCACAAUAAAUUUUCUGCUUUUAAA